UCAUCUGGAAAGAUGAAUCAAAGAAGGUAAUAAUCCUGUAGUCGAAAAUGUUGUCUCUCUUGAGUGGAUCCUGAGUACGACGGAGCACGUGAAAUUCCGUCGGAAUCUGGGAGGACCAUCUCCUAAGGCUAAAUACUCUCUAGUGACCGAUAGCGAACCAGUACCGUGAGGGAAAGGUGAAAAGCACCCCGGAAGGGGAGUGAAAUAGAACCUGAAACCGUGUGCUUACAAGUAGUCAGAGCCCGUUAAUGGGUGAUAGCGUGCCUUUUGUAGAAUGAACCGGCGAGUUACGAUUUGAUGCAAGGUUAAGCAGUAAAUGUGGAGCCGUAGCGAAAGCGAGUCUGAAUAGGGCGUUUAGUAUUUGGUCGUAGACCCGAAACCAGGUGAUCUACCCUUGGUCAGGUUGAAGUUCAGGUAACACUGAAUGGAGGACCGAACCGACUUACGUUGAAAAGUGAGCGGAUGAACUGAGGGUAGCGGAGAAAUUCCAAUCGAACCUGGAGAUAGCUGGUUCUCUCCGAAAUAGCUUUAGGGCUAGCCUCAAGUGAUGAUUAUUGGAGGUAGAGCACUGUUUGGACGAGGGGCCCCUCUCGGGUUACCGAAUUCAGACAAACUCCGAAUGCCAAUUAAUUUAACUUGGGAGUCAGAACAUGGGUGAUAAGGUCCGUGUUCGAAAGGGAAACAGCCCAGACCACCAGCUAAGGUCCCAAAAUAUAUGUUAAGUGGAAAAGGAUGUGGCGUUGCCCAGACAACUAGGAUGUUGGCUUAGAAGCAGCCAUCAUUUAAAGAGUGCGUAAUAGCUCACUAGUCGAGUGACACUGCGCCGAAAAUGUACCGGGGCUAAACAUAUUACCGAAGCUGUGGAUUGUCCUUUGGACAAUGGUAGGAGAGCGUUCUAAGGGCGUUGAAGCAUGAUCGUAAGGACAUGUGGAGCGCUUAGAAGUGAGAAUGCCGGUGUGAGUAGCGAAAGACGGGUGAGAAUCCCGUCCACCGAUUGACUAAGGUUUCCAGAGGAAGGCUCGUCCGCUCUGGGUUAGUCGGGUCCUAAGCUGAGGCCGACAGGCGUAGGCGAUGGAUAACAGGUUGAUAUUCCUGUACCACCUAUAAUCGUUUUAAUCGAUGGGGGGACGCAGUAGGAUAGGCGAAGCGUGCGAUUGGAUUGCACGUCUAAGCAGUAAGGCUGAGUAUUAGGCAAAUCCGGUACUCAUUAAGGCUGAGCUGUGAUGGGGAGAAGACAUUGUGUCUUCGAGUCGUUGAUUUCACACUGCCGAGAAAAGCCUCUAGAUAGAAAAUAGGUGCCCGUACCGCAAACCGACACAGGUAGUCAAGAUGAGAAUUCUAAGGUGAGCGAGCGAACUCUCGUUAAGGAACUCGGCAAAAUGACCCCGUAACUUCGGGAGAAGGGGUGCUCUUUAGGGUUAACGCCCAGAAGAGCCGCAGUGAAUAGGCCCAAGCGACUGUUUAUCAAAAACACAGGUCUCUGCUAAACCGUAAGGUGAUGUAUAGGGGCUGACGCCUGCCCGGUGCUGGAAGGUUAAGAGGAGUGGUUAGCUUCUGCGAAGCUACGAAUCGAAGCCCCAGUAAACGGCGGCCGUAACUAUAACGGUCCUAAGGUAGCGAAAUUCCUUGUCGGGUAAGUUCCGACCCGCACGAAAGGCGUAACGAUUUGGGCACUGUCUCAACGAGAGACUCGGUGAAAUCAUAGUACCUGUGAAGAUGCAGGUUACCCGCGACAGGACGGAAAGACCCCGUGGAGCUUUACUGUAGCCUGAUAUUGAAAUUCGGCACAGCUUGUACAGGAUAGGUAGGAGCCUUUGAAACGUGAGCGCUAGCUUACGUGGAGGCGCUGGUGGGAUACUACCCUAGCUGUGUUGGCUUUCUAACCCGCACCACUUAUCGUGGUGGGAGACAGUGUCAGGCGGGCAGUUUGACUGGGGCGGUCGCCUCCUAAAAGGUAACGGAGGCGCUCAAAGGUUCCCUCAGAAUGGUUGGAAAUCAUUCAUAGAGUGUAAAGGCAUAAGGGAGCUUGACUGCGAGACCUACAAG
RNAcentral lists this ribosomal RNA (2046 nucleotides) under Staphylococcus aureus. Its description in RNAcentral is "partial 23S ribosomal RNA". It matches the Rfam family "Bacterial large subunit ribosomal RNA", at positions 338 to 2388 of the family's 2925-position model. The record is from RNAcentral. Lineage: Bacteria; Bacillati; Bacillota; Bacilli; Caryophanales; Staphylococcaceae.